Molecule: ribosomal RNA, 503 nt
Filed under: uncultured bacterium
Lineage: Bacteria
Description: partial 16S ribosomal RNA
Rfam family: Bacterial small subunit ribosomal RNA
Source: RNAcentral
AUUGAACGCUGGCGGCAGGCUUAACACAUGCAAGUCGAGCGGGGUGAUGGUGCUUGCACUAUCACUUAGCGGCGGACGGGUGAGUAAUGCUUAGGAAUCUGCCUAUUAGUGGGGGACAACAUCUCGAAAGGGAUGCUAAUACCGCAUACGUCCUAAGGGAGAAAGCAGGGGAUCACUUGUGCCCUUGCGCUAAUAGAUGAGCCUAAGUCGGAUUAGCUAGUUGGUGGGGUAAAGGCCUACCAAGGCGACGAUCUGUAGCGGGUCUGAGAGGAUGAUCCGCGACACUGAGACUGAGACACGGACCAGACUUCUACGGUAAGCAGCAGUGGGGAAUAUUGGACGAUGGGGGAAAACCAGAUCCAGCAAAGCGGCGUGUGUGAAGAAGGCCUUAUGGUUGUAAAGCACUUUAAGCGAGGAGGAGGCUCUUUUGGUUAAUACCCAAGAUGAGUUGACGUUACUCGCAUAAUAAGCACCGGCUAACUCUGUGCCAGCAGCCGCCGUAA